RNAcentral lists this ribosomal RNA (314 nucleotides) under uncultured bacterium. RNAcentral describes it as "bacterial SSU rRNA". It matches the Rfam family "Bacterial small subunit ribosomal RNA", at positions 28 to 334 of the family's 1533-position model. The record is from RNAcentral.
GGUGAACGCUAGCUACAGGCUUAACACAUGCAAGUCGAGGGGCAGCAUGGGCUUAGCUUGCUAAGCCCGAUGGCGACCGGCGCACGGGUGAGUAACACGUAUCCAACCUUCCGGUAACUCCGGUAUAGCCUUUCGAAAGAAAGAUUAAUCCCGGAUAGUAUGGUGAUUCCGCAUGGUUUCUCCAUUAAAGGAUUCCGGUUACCGAUGGGGAUGCGUUCCAUUAGGCAGUUGGUGGGGUAACGGCUCACCAAGGCGACGAUGCAUAGCCGACCUGAGAAGGUGAACGGCCACACUGGGACUGAGACGCGGCCCAG